RNAcentral lists this ribosomal RNA (462 nucleotides) under uncultured bacterium. Its description in RNAcentral is "partial 16S ribosomal RNA". It matches the Rfam family "Bacterial small subunit ribosomal RNA", at positions 28 to 507 of the family's 1533-position model. The record is from RNAcentral.
GAUGAACGCUGACAGAAUGCUUAACACAUGCAAGUCUUUGGCGAAUCUGUGCUUGCACAGGCUAGCCAAGGCGGACGGGUGAGUAACGCGUAAAGAACUUGCCCUGCAGACAGGGAUAACAGACGGAAACGACUGAUAACACCUGAUACAGUUGCCGGCACGCAUGUGCCUGGCAAUGAAAAGAGAUGCUGCAGGAGAGCUUUGCGUCCUAUUAGCUUGUUGGUGAGGUGACGGCUCACCAAGGCGAUGAUAGGUAGCCGGCCUGAGAGGGUGAACGGCCACAAGGGGACUGAGAUACGGCCCUUACUCCUACGGGAGGCAGCAGUGGGGAAUAUUGGACAAUGGGGCAACCCUGAUCCAGCAAUUCUGUGUGCACGAAGAAGGUUUUCGGAUUGUAAAGUGCUUUCAGCAGGGAAGAAGAAAGUGACGGUACCUGCAGAAGAAGCGACGGCUAAAUACGUG